CAAACUAAAUCAAUGAAAAAUAUAAAUGGAAAGCAAUAGGAUAUGUUGGAGUACAUGAGGAAGGCAUUUGGUUUAAAACUAAUUCGGGCUGACCUUGUUUUUCCAGAAAGACCUGACAUGUCCUGUU
Molecule: non-coding RNA, 127 nt
Organism: Ceratotherium simum simum (southern white rhinoceros)
Lineage: Eukaryota; Metazoa; Chordata; Mammalia; Perissodactyla; Rhinocerotidae
Source: RefSeq, a predicted model, not a curated record